UCUCUCUCAAAAUAAUUUUUUUUUUUAUUGAAAGAAACAGAAGAUGGGAGGGUGACCCUCAGAUGUGGGCAGUCUUUAGCGUCUACAUGUUUAUCUCAAGUAGCGAGAAUGAGAGAGUAACCUGUGGAGACUUAGAAUUGAGAUAGAGGAGAAGGAACUAGCAGAGAAGAUGAAAAAGGAAUGGCCAGAGUUGACAGAAGAAAGAAACAGAAAAGUCCCAAGGUGUGGAAGAAGGCAUGAAGUAAGAAUUUAUACAAAAAGGUCAGUCUGUGUAUACAGCCUGUGGCACUGCGGACGUGAGCGGGGGAAAUGGGAAGCUGCCUUCCUGACCCCUCCAGUUCCCUCCCUCUUUCCAUCACAUGUUUUUCCCAGUAAGUCUUUCCACAUCUGGCCUUGGACUCUAUUCAGAAGAUCCAACUAACACAUCCUCCUUUCAUUCUGAGGCACUCAUAAGAGCUGAGCCUUAAUAAAGAAAGGAGCUCUCUA
Molecule: long non-coding RNA, 486 nt
Organism: Suricata suricatta (meerkat)
Lineage: Eukaryota; Metazoa; Chordata; Mammalia; Carnivora; Herpestidae
Exons: 4
Source: RefSeq, a predicted model, not a curated record